CCCGCCUGCCCAGUGACCUAGUUUAACGGCCGCAGUACUCUAACCGCGCGAAGGUAGCAUAAUCACUUGUUCUUUAAAUGAGGACUCGUAUCAACGGCAUCACGAGGGCUCCACUGUCUCCUUUCUCCAAUCAGUGAAACUAACCCCCCCGUGAAGAAGCGGGGAUAACCCUAUAAGACGAGAAGACCCCAUGGAGCUUUAAACCUAGCCACACCCCCAACCCCCAAUACCCUCUUAGUAGCAGGGGACCUGUGAGCUCAGUUUUAGGUUGGGGUGACCGCGGAGCACAAUAAAGCCUCCGUGAUGAACGAGACUACUCUCUUAUCCAAGAACUACACUUCCAAGAAUUAAAACACUAAUGUAAUAUGAUCCAGUAAAUGAUCAACGAACUAAGUUACCCUGGGGAUAACAGCGCAAUCCAUUUCAAGAGCCCAUAUCGACAAAUGGGUUUACGACCUCGAUGUUGGAUCAGGAUGCCCCAGUGGUGCAGCAGCUACUAAAGGUUCGUUUGUUCAACAAUUAAAAUCCU
RNAcentral lists this ribosomal RNA (529 nucleotides) under Gephyromantis horridus. RNAcentral describes it as "partial 16S ribosomal RNA". It matches the Rfam family "Bacterial large subunit ribosomal RNA", at positions 1854 to 2597 of the family's 2925-position model. The record is from RNAcentral. Lineage: Eukaryota; Metazoa; Chordata; Amphibia; Anura; Mantellidae.